AAUAUAGUAUGAAAUGUUUUGAUUGACUAAUUAAAAUAGGAUGAAUAAGAGAAUAUUAUAGUAAGAGGGUUUAUCUAUGUUUAAAAUCAUAUAUAUGAAAGUUGACCAACUCUCUCCAUAUGAAUGACACAUUAUCACACAAGAAAAUGACAUGUGUCAUUCGAUAUUUUUAAAACUAAAAAUUAAUAAAAUUAAAUAAACAAAUUAAAUGUAUCAUCAAUCCUACUCUUGAUU
This 234-nucleotide small RNA is filed under the name Arabidopsis thaliana (thale cress). RNAcentral's name for it is "ATSL288990". The record is from RNAcentral. Lineage: Eukaryota; Viridiplantae; Streptophyta; Magnoliopsida; Brassicales; Brassicaceae.